RNAcentral lists this small RNA (373 nucleotides) under Vigna angularis var. angularis. RNAcentral's name for it is "Non-protein coding transcript". Lineage: Eukaryota; Viridiplantae; Streptophyta; Magnoliopsida; Fabales; Fabaceae. The record is from RNAcentral.
CUAUACCCUAGCACCCCAUUUGAAUUGCACCUCUGAUAAUCUUUCUUCUCCUUAAUAUUUUUUCUCUCCAUUCCAUUUGAUUUAUUUUGGUUGAAGUUUUUCUUUUCCAACUUAUAUCAAUUGUUAUAUUUGUGAGUGAGUGUGGUAUUCAAAAUUAAAGAUAUUUUAGAGGGGUUGUUAGUGUUCCACUGCAGCUUGGAGUGGUGCUUCGAGCAAGCUUGGGUUGCUUUGUGGUGGUGCGUUCCUAGUGUGCUUGGGGUGCUUCGUGAUGGUGCUUGGGGUGUUUCUUCUUGGUGUUCUUGCUAAUGUUGGUGGGAGAUUACUGGUUGCAUUGCUUCGAGCAAGGUGGCACAGUUUGAGCUUAAUACGUGGA